RNAcentral lists this ribosomal RNA (262 nucleotides) under uncultured bacterium. RNAcentral's name for it is "partial 16S ribosomal RNA". It matches the Rfam family "Bacterial small subunit ribosomal RNA", at positions 515 to 776 of the family's 1533-position model. The record is from RNAcentral.
CCGCGGUAAUACGUAGGGGGCAAGCGUUGUCCGGAAUUAUUGGGCGUAAAGCGCGCGCAGGCGGUCUUUUAAGUCAGGGGUGAAAUCCCGGAGCUCAACUCCGGAACUGCCUUUGAUACUGGCAAGCUAGAGUCCGGAAGAGGUGAGUGGAACUCCUAGUGUAGAGGUGGAAUUCGUAGAUAUUAGGAAGAACACCAGUGGCGAAGGCGGCUCACUGGUCCGGUACUGACGCUGAGGUGCGAAAGCGUGGGGAGCAAACAGG